Molecule: ribosomal RNA, 459 nt
Filed under: uncultured bacterium
Lineage: Bacteria
Description: bacterial SSU rRNA
Rfam family: Bacterial small subunit ribosomal RNA
Source: RNAcentral
AACGAACGCUGGCGGCAGGCCUAACACAUGCAAGUCGAGCGCCCCAGCGAUGGGGAGCGGCGGACGGGUGAGUAACGCGUGGGAACGUACCCUUUGCUACGGAAUAGCCUCGGGAAACUGGGAGUAAUACCGUAUGUGCCCUUCGGGGGAAAGAUUUAUCGGCAAAGGAUCGGCCCGCGUUGGAUUAGGUAGUUGGUGGGGUAAUGGCCUACCAAGCCGACGAUUCAUAGCUGGUUUGAGAGGAUGAUCAGCCACACUGGGACUGAGACACGGCCCAGACUCCUACGGGAGGCAGCAGUGGGGAAUCUUAGACAAUGGGCGCAAGCCUGAUCUAGCCAUGCCGCGUGAGCGAUGAAGGCCUUAGGGUUGUAAAGCUCUUUCAGGGGGGAAGAUAAUGACUGUACCCCCAGAAGAAGCCCCGGCUAACUCCGUGCCAGCAGCCGCGGUAAUGUCUGUACU